RNAcentral lists this unclassified non-coding RNA (499 nucleotides) under uncultured Glomus. RNAcentral describes it as "SSU rRNA". It matches the Rfam family "Eukaryotic small subunit ribosomal RNA", at positions 591 to 1092 of the family's 1831-position model. The record is from RNAcentral. Lineage: Eukaryota; Fungi; Glomeromycota; Glomeromycetes; Glomerales; Glomeraceae.
CCAAUAGCGUAUAUUAAAGUUGUUGCAGUUAAAAAGCUCGUAGUUGAAUUUCGGGAUCAAUUUGUCGGUCGUGCCUCGGUACGUACUGGCAUUAUUGGUUUCUCCCUUCUGACGAACCACGAUGUCAUUAAUUUGGUGUCGCGGGAAAUCAGGACUGUUACUUUGAAAAAAUUAGAGUGUUUAAAGCAAGCUCACGCUUGAAUACAUUAGCAUGGAAUAAUGAAAUAGGACGUUUGAUUCUAUUUUGUUGGUUUCUAGGAUCGACGUAAUGAUUAAUAGGGAUAGUUGGGGGCAUUAGUAUUCAAUUGUCAGAGGUGAAAUUCUUGGAUUUAUUGAAGACUAACUACUGCGAAAGCAUUUGCCAAGGAUGUUUUCAUUAAUCAAGAACGAAAGUUAGGGGAUCGAAGACGAUCAGAUACCGUCGUAGUCUUAACCAUAAACUAUGCCGACUAGGGAUCGGAUGAUGUUAAUUUUUUAAUGACUCAUUCGGCGCCUUACA